AUUUUCCUCAGAUCUGGUAUUUCGUUAUUUCUCUCGCGUCAUCGCGCUUCUCUCUCUGAGCAUCAUCGCCGUCUUCAAGUAUCACCGCCGCUUCUUUAUCAGGAUCCUCUUCUGAAGCCUGCACCAAAGAAGCAGAGUGAGUCUUCAUCAAAGUAGAUCUGUUUCGUUUGCUUGGGUUUGAUAGGAUGACUUUGGAAAGGUUGAAGAUUGAAAAUUUGUAAUAUUGAAGAAGAAAUGAAUUCUUUCUAAUGUAUUAGAUAGAUUUUUUGUUAUUAUUUAUUUAAGUAAGGUUGUAAAUUAUUCACAGAUUUUGAUUUAUAUUGUAAUUACUUUUAUUACAUAUAAUAAUAAUUAUGAUUUUUCCUCUAAA
Beta vulgaris subsp. vulgaris (sugar beet) is the source of this 370-nucleotide long non-coding RNA. RefSeq lists it as uncharacterized. The record is from RefSeq and is a predicted model, not a curated record. NCBI's taxonomy places the organism in Eukaryota, Viridiplantae, Streptophyta, Magnoliopsida, Caryophyllales, Amaranthaceae. The transcript is spliced from 3 exons.